RNAcentral lists this ribosomal RNA (485 nucleotides) under uncultured Flavobacteriaceae bacterium. RNAcentral describes it as "bacterial SSU rRNA". It matches the Rfam family "Bacterial small subunit ribosomal RNA", at positions 28 to 505 of the family's 1533-position model. The record is from RNAcentral. Lineage: Bacteria; Pseudomonadati; Bacteroidota; Flavobacteriia; Flavobacteriales; Flavobacteriaceae.
GAUGAACGCUAGCGGCAGGCCUAACACAUGCAAGUCGAGGGGUAACAGAGAGUGCUUGCACUCUGCUGACGACCGGCGCACGGGUGCGCACCGCGUAUGGAAUCUGCCCUUUACAGGGGGAUAGCCCAGGGAAACUUGGAUUAAUACCCCGUAGUACCUUUCGUAGCAUUGCGAGAUGGUUAAAGGCUUCGGCCGGUAAAGGAUGACCAUGCGUCCCAUUAGUUAGUUGGUAAGGUAACGGCUUACCAAGACCGCGAUGGGUAGGGGCCCUGAGAGGGGGAUCCCCCACACUGGUACUGAGACACGGACCAGACUCCUACGGGAGGCAGCAGUGAGGAAUAUUGGACAAUGGGUGAGAGCCUGAUCCAGCCAUGCCGCGUGCAGGAAGAAUGCCCUAUGGGUAGUAAACUGCUUUUAUACAGGAAGAAAAAGGGGUACGUGUACCCCACUGACGGUACUGUAAGAAUAAGGACCGGCUAACUCCG